This 482-nucleotide ribosomal RNA is filed under the name uncultured bacterium. Its description in RNAcentral is "partial 16S ribosomal RNA". It matches the Rfam family "Bacterial small subunit ribosomal RNA", at positions 28 to 507 of the family's 1533-position model. The record is from RNAcentral.
GACGAACGCUGGCGGCGUGCUUAACACAUGCAAGUCGAACGAUGAAGAAGAGAAACGCGAACUUCGGUUCAAAUUUCACUUCGGAUUAGUGGCAGACGGGUGAGUAACGCGUGAGCAACCUACCUCUUACAAAGGGAUAGCCUCGGGAAACCGUGAUUAAUACCAUAUGACACAUUCAUAAGGCAUCUUAAGAAUGUUAAAGCUACGGCGGUAAGAGAUGGGCUCGCGUCCCAUUAGCUAGUUGGUGAGGUAACGGCCCACCAAGGCGACGGUGGGUAACCGGGCUGAGAGGGUGAACGGUCACAGUGGAACUGAGACACGGUCCAAACUCCUACGGGAGGCAGCAGUGGGGAAUAUUGCACAAUGGAGGGAGCUCUGAUGCAGCGACGCCGCGUGAGCGAUGAAGGAAUUCGUUUCGUAAAGCUCUGUUCUAUGGGAAGAAAAGGACUGUACCAUAGGAGAAAGCCCCGGCUAAAUACGUG